This 253-nucleotide ribosomal RNA is filed under the name uncultured bacterium. Its description in RNAcentral is "partial 16S ribosomal RNA". It matches the Rfam family "Bacterial small subunit ribosomal RNA", at positions 524 to 776 of the family's 1533-position model. The record is from RNAcentral.
UACAGAGGGGGCAAGCGUUGUUCGGAAUUACUGGGCGUAAAGGGCGCGUAGGCGGCCUUCUAAGUCGAACGUGAAAUCCCUGGGCUCAACCCAGGAACUGCGUCCGAUACUGGGAGGCUUGAAUCCGGGAGAGGGAUGCGGAAUUCCAGGUGUAGCGGUGAAAUGCGUAGAUAUCUGGAGGAGCACCGGUGGCGAAGGCGGCAUCCUGGACCGGCAUUGACGCUGAGGCGCGAAAGCCAGGGGAGCAAACGGG